AAAGCAACAGCGCUUGCUUUGGCAGCACUGGAAUAAUACAGAGAAGAUUAGCAUGGCCCCUGUGCAAGGAUGACAUGCAAAUUUGUGAAGCAUUCCAUGUUUUU
Molecule: small nuclear RNA, 104 nt
Organism: Marmota marmota marmota (Alpine marmot)
Lineage: Eukaryota; Metazoa; Chordata; Mammalia; Rodentia; Sciuridae
Source: Ensembl